RNAcentral lists this ribosomal RNA (303 nucleotides) under uncultured bacterium. Its description in RNAcentral is "partial 16S ribosomal RNA". It matches the Rfam family "Bacterial small subunit ribosomal RNA", at positions 507 to 807 of the family's 1533-position model. The record is from RNAcentral.
AGCAGUAGCCGCGGUAAUACGGAGGGAGCUAGCGUUGUUCGGAAUUACUGGGCGUAAAGCGCGCGUAGGCGGUUACUCAAGUCAGAGGUGAAAGCCCGGGGCUCAACCCCGGAACUGCCUUUGAAACUAGGUGACUAGAAUCUUGGAGAGGUCAGUGGAAUUCCGAGUGUAGAGGUGAAAUUCGUAGAUAUUCGGAAGAACACCAGUGGCGAAGGCGACUGACUGGACAAAGACUGACGCUCAGGUGCGAAAGCGUGGGGAGCAAACAGGAUUAGAGACCCCGGUAGUCCCUGUCUCUUAUAC